CUAAUACAUGCAAGUCGAGCGGACAGAUGGGAGCUUGCUCCCUGAUGUUAGCGGCGGACGGGUGAGUAACACGUGGGUAACCUGCCUGUAAGACUGGGAUAACUCCGGGAAACCGGGGCUAAUACCGGAUGGUUGUUUGAACCGCAUGGUUCAGACAUAAAAGGUGGCUUCGGCUACCACUUACAGAUGGACCCGCGGCGCAUUAGCUAGUUGGUGAGGUAACGGCUCACCAAGGCAACGAUGCGUAGCCGACCUGAGAGGGUGAUCGGCCACACUGGGACUGAGACACGGCCCAGACUCCUACGGGAGGCAGCAGUAGGGAAUCUUCCGCAAUGGACGAAAGUCUGACGGAGCAACGCCGCGUGAGUGAUGAAGGUUUUCGGAUCGUAAAGCUCUGUUGUUAGGGAAGAACAAGUGCCGUUCAAAUAGGGCGGCACCUUGACGGUACCUAACCAGAAAGCCACGGCUAACUACGUGCCAGCAGCCGCGGUAAUACGUAGGUGGCAAGCGUUGUCCGGAAUUAUUGGGCGUAAAGGGCUCGCAGGCGGUUUCUUAAGUCUGAUGUGAAAGCCCCCGGCUCAACCGGGGAGGGUCAUUGGAAACUGGGGAACUUGAGUGCAGAAGAGGAGAGUGGAAUUCCACGUGUAGCGGUGAAAUGCGUAGAGAUGUGGAGGAACACCAGUGGCGAAGGCGACUCUCUGGUCUGUAACUGACGCUGAGGAGCGAAAGCGUGGGGAGCGAACAGGAUUAGAUACCCUGGUAGUCCACGCCGUAAACGAUGAGUGCUAAGUGUUAGGGGGUUUCCGCCCCUUAGUGCUGCAGCUAACGCAUUAAGCACUCCGCCUGGGGAGUACGGUCGCAAGACUGAAACUCAAGGAAUUGACGGGGGCCCGCACAAGCGGUGGAGCAUGUGGUUUAAUUCGAAGCAACGCGAGAACCUUACCAGGUCUUGACAUCCUCUGACAAUCCUAGAGAUAGGACGUCCCCUUCGGGGGCAG
Molecule: ribosomal RNA, 998 nt
Filed under: Bacillus amyloliquefaciens
Lineage: Bacteria; Bacillati; Bacillota; Bacilli; Caryophanales; Bacillaceae
Description: bacterial SSU rRNA
Rfam family: Bacterial small subunit ribosomal RNA
Source: RNAcentral